GCAACGCGAAGAACCUUACCUGGUCUUGACAUCCACAGAACUUUCUAGAGAUAGAUUGGUGCCUUCGGGAACUGUGAGACAGGUGCUGCAUGGCUGUCGUCAGCUCGUGUUGUGAAAUGUUGGGUUAAGUCCCGUAACGAGCGCAACCCUUAUCCUUAUUUGCCAGCACUUCGGGUGGGAACUCUAAGGAGACUGCCGGUGACAAACCGGAGGAAGGUGGGGACGACGUCAAGUCAUCAUGGCCCUUACGUGUAGGGCUACAC
This 263-nucleotide ribosomal RNA is filed under the name Pseudo-nitzschia fraudulenta. Its description in RNAcentral is "partial Bacterial small subunit ribosomal RNA". It matches the Rfam family "Bacterial small subunit ribosomal RNA", at positions 956 to 1219 of the family's 1533-position model. The record is from RNAcentral. Lineage: Eukaryota; Bacillariophyta; Bacillariophyceae; Bacillariales; Bacillariaceae.